UGGCUCAAGGGGCACGUUGCUUCGCCUGU
RNAcentral lists this non-coding RNA (29 nucleotides) under Rattus norvegicus (Norway rat). Lineage: Eukaryota; Metazoa; Chordata; Mammalia; Rodentia; Muridae. The record is from RNAcentral.